RNAcentral lists this transfer RNA (87 nucleotides) under Chloroflexota bacterium. RNAcentral describes it as "Chloroflexi bacterium (marine sediment metagenome) tRNA-Leu". It matches the Rfam family "tRNA". From Rfam's summary of the family: Transfer RNA (tRNA) molecules are approximately 80 nucleotides in length. Their secondary structure includes four short double-helical elements and three loops (D, anti-codon, and T loops). The record is from RNAcentral. Lineage: Bacteria; Bacillati; Chloroflexota.
GCCGAAGUGGCGGAACAGGCAGACGCGACGGUCUCAAAAACCGUUGAGGGCAACCUCAUGUGGGUUCGAGUCCCACCUUCGGCACCU